This 625-nucleotide ribosomal RNA is filed under the name Bacillus sp. EP96F1. Its description in RNAcentral is "bacterial SSU rRNA". It matches the Rfam family "Bacterial small subunit ribosomal RNA", at positions 76 to 684 of the family's 1533-position model. Lineage: Bacteria; Bacillati; Bacillota; Bacilli; Caryophanales; Bacillaceae. The record is from RNAcentral.
GAGCUUGCUCUUAUGAAGUUAGCGGCGGACGGGUGAGUAACACGUGGGUAACCUACCCAUAAGACUGGGAUAACUCCGGGAAACCGGGGCUAAUACCGGAUAAUAUUUUGAACUGCAUAGUUCGAAAUUGAAAGGCGGCUUCGGCUGUCACUUAUGGAUGGACCCGCGUCGCAUUAGCUAGUUGGUGAGGUAACGGCUCACCAAGGCGACGAUGCGUAGCCGACCUGAGAGGGUGAUCGGCCACACUGGGACUGAGACACGGCCCAGACUCCUACGGGAGGCAGCAGUAGGGAAUCUUCCGCAAUGGACGAAAGUCUGACGGAGCAACGCCGCGUGAGUGAUGAAGGCUUUCGGGUCGUAAAACUCUGUUGUUAGGGAAGAACAAGUGCUAGUUGAAUAAGCUGGCACCUUGACGGUACCUAACCAGAAAGCCACGGCUAACUACGUGCCAGCAGCCGCGGUAAUACGUAGGUGGCAAGCGUUAUCCGGAAUUAUUGGGCGUAAAGCGCGCGCAGGUGGUUUCUUAAGUCUGAUGUGAAAGCCCACGGCUCAACCGUGGAGGGUCAUUGGAAACUGGGAGACUUGAGUGCAGAAGAGGAAAGUGGAGUUCCAUGUGUAGCGGUGA